This 403-nucleotide ribosomal RNA is filed under the name Verrucomicrobiota bacterium. Its description in RNAcentral is "Verrucomicrobia bacterium partial 16S ribosomal RNA". It matches the Rfam family "Bacterial small subunit ribosomal RNA", at positions 355 to 776 of the family's 1533-position model. The record is from RNAcentral. Lineage: Bacteria; Pseudomonadati; Verrucomicrobiota.
UGGGGAAUAUUGCACAAUGGGGGAAACCCUGAUGCAGCGACGCCGCGUGAGCGAAGAAGGUUUUCGAAUCGUAAAGCUCUGUCCUAUGAGAAGAUAAUGACGGUAUCAUAGGAGGAAGCCCCGGCUAAAUACGUGCCAGCAGCCGCGGUAAUACGUAUGGGGCGAGCGUUGUCCGGAAUUAUUGGGCGUAAAGGGUACGUAGGCGGUCUAUUAAGUCAGGUGUGAAAGCGUGAGGCUUAACCUCAUUAAGCACUUGAAACUGAUAGACUUGAGUGAAGGAGAGGAAAGUGGAAUUCCUAGUGUAGCGGUGAAAUGAGUAGAUAUUAGGAGGAAUACCGGUGGCGAAGGCGACUUUCUGGACUUUUACUGACGCUCAGGUACGAAAGCGUGGGGAGCAAACAGG